UGCGUAGGCUGUGCGGAAAGUUGGGUGUGAAAUACCUCAGCUUAACUGAGGAACUGCGCCCAAAACUACCGUGCUUGAGGGAGACAGAGGUAAGCGGAACUUAGGGUGGAGCGGUGAAAUGCGUUGAUAUCCUAGGGAACACCGGUGGCGAAAGCGGCUUACUGGGUCUCAUCUGACGCUGAGGCACGAAAGCCAGGGUAGCGAACG
This 207-nucleotide ribosomal RNA is filed under the name uncultured bacterium. RNAcentral's name for it is "partial 16S ribosomal RNA". It matches the Rfam family "Bacterial small subunit ribosomal RNA", at positions 568 to 774 of the family's 1533-position model. The record is from RNAcentral.